AAAUUGAAGAGUUUGAUCAUGGCUCAGAUUGAACGCUGGCGGCAGGCCUUACACAUGCAAGUCGAACGGUAACAGGAAACAGCUUGCUGUUUCGCUGACGAGUGGCGGACGGGUGAGUAAUGUCUGGGAAACUGCCUGAUGGAGGGGGAUAACUACUGGAAACGGUAGCUAAUACCGCAUAACGUCGCAAGACCAA
RNAcentral lists this ribosomal RNA (196 nucleotides) under Escherichia coli. RNAcentral describes it as "partial 16S ribosomal RNA". It matches the Rfam family "Bacterial small subunit ribosomal RNA", at positions 1 to 204 of the family's 1533-position model. The record is from RNAcentral. Lineage: Bacteria; Pseudomonadati; Pseudomonadota; Gammaproteobacteria; Enterobacterales; Enterobacteriaceae.